UACGUAGGGGGCUAGCGUUGUCCGGAAUCAUUGGGCGUAAAGAGCGUGUAGGCGGUUUGGUAGGUCCGCUGUGAAAACUCGAGGCUCAACCUCGAGACGCCGAUGGAAACCCUCGAACUAGAGUCCGGAAGAGGAGAAUGGAAUUCCUGGUGUAGCGGUGAAAUGCGCAGAUAUCAGGAAGAACACCCGUGGCUAAGGCGGUUCUCUAGUACGGUACUGACGCUGAGACGCGAAAGCGUGGGGAGCGAACAGG
This 253-nucleotide ribosomal RNA is filed under the name uncultured bacterium. RNAcentral describes it as "partial 16S ribosomal RNA". It matches the Rfam family "Bacterial small subunit ribosomal RNA", at positions 524 to 776 of the family's 1533-position model. The record is from RNAcentral.